This 1237-nucleotide unclassified non-coding RNA is filed under the name Hevea brasiliensis (rubber tree). Lineage: Eukaryota; Viridiplantae; Streptophyta; Magnoliopsida; Malpighiales; Euphorbiaceae. The record is from RNAcentral.
AGAAUAGACUGACAAAACCUGCCUCCACAACCUUCGGCUGGUGUCUGCCACCAUCGGCAAAGCCUUUUAGUGGUAGGGGCUAAGGAUUAGCAUUUCCACUAUAAUCAUACAUCUCUUACAUAAAUUAAAGAGUUGAGUAGAUUUCAUCACUCCAUCCAAGUCACAAAUCCAAAGCGAGGGAAAAAUUAAAUAAGCAUAAUACCCAUACAGGAACGGCUGAAAUUUUCCAACAAGUACUUUCUUUCUUGCAACUUGAAAAGACAAGGCCAAAGUACAGAGAGUCUGUGUGUGGUGUGGUGUAGUGUGGUGUGGCUCCACUAAGCACUGGAUGUAGAGGCAAACAUUACUACCAGACCCAUCAGUUCGUUUGCAUUGCUUCUGUAUGAUAUUUCAUCAAAUCAGCAUCUAGAUCUUCUGCAGAUACCUUUUCUCCACGACCUCCUCUUCCCCAUCCUCUGUUGCCUCCUCGAAAUCCACGAUCACGUCCUCUGGCACCCCGUGACCUCCCAAAACCACCACCUCUUACUUGACCACUUCUAGGAGCUCCAUUAGUAUCUCCAAAACCAAAAGCUCCAUUGGAAAAAGGGGCAGUAGGAGUGACAAUGUUGGUUCCAACAAUUUCGAUCUUCAUUGGCUUCCCAUCAAGCUGAACAUUGUUGAACCUUUUAACACCAGCUAGUGCAUCUUGUCUACGUGAGAAAACCACCUCUGCUGUUCCCUUUGAUCUCCCGCUCCUAUCAUAAUGAACAGCAUAACGUUUCAGGUCACCAAUUUCUGAAAAGAGCUCCUUGAUAUCCUCAUUGGAGACGCCGUAAUCAAGAUUGGAGAUGUAGAGUUUAGUCCCAGUCUCUAUGGAAGACGCCCGACCACCAGCUUGACCAAAGGCGACGGCUUGAUCUGCCUCGAACAUAUCAUGAUUCCACGACGCUUGAGGGGCCUUGGCGAUGGAAUAAGGUGCAGCUCGGUUAGCAGAACGAUUAGGGAACCGUCGAGAAGGUCCAGCACUGGAGGUGGAGGCGGCGCCGCGGCCUCUGCCACGAGGCUUACCUCCGGUACCGGUCUUAUUCUUCUUGAUGAGAUCGUCGAGAGUCAUAUCCAAAGCUGCCUCAGCCAUUUGUAAUUGCGUCUUUGUUUGUGGGUAGAAAGCUGGGUAGGGUUUGAACUUUGAUAAAAGAAGCUCGCUCGUAUUUAACUACUCACUAAUUACUUAUCAAAUAAUUUCAACACUAUCUCCAAU